RNAcentral lists this ribosomal RNA (439 nucleotides) under uncultured bacterium. RNAcentral describes it as "partial 16S ribosomal RNA". It matches the Rfam family "Bacterial small subunit ribosomal RNA", at positions 339 to 795 of the family's 1533-position model. The record is from RNAcentral.
CUACGGGUGGCACCAGUGGGGAAUAUUGCACAAUGGAGGGAACUCUGAUGCAGCAACGCCGCGUGGAGGAUGACACAUUUCGGUGCGUAAACUCCUUUUAUAUAAGAAGAUAAUGACGGUAUUAUAUGAAUAAGCACCGGCUAACUCCGUGCCAGCAGCCGCGGUAAUACGGGGGGUGCAAGCGUUACUCGGAAUCACUGGGCGUAAAGAGCAUGUAGGCUGGAUGACAAGUUGGAAGUGAAAUCCUAUGGCUUAACCACAGAACUGCUUCCAAAACUGUCUUCCUAGAGUAUGGGAGAGGUAGAUGGAAUUUCUGGUGUAGGGGUAAAAUCCGUAGAGAUCAGAAGGAAUACCGAUUGCGAAGGCGAUCUACUGGAACAUUACUGACGCUCAGAUGCGAAAGCGUGGGGAGCAAACAGGAUUAGAUACCCUCGUAGUC